UGACAAGGUAAUGUCAGCUGUUAUGACCAUAUUAUGACAGGUUAUGACAAGGUAAUGUCAGCUGUUAUGACCAUAUUAUGACAGGGUAAUGUCAGCUGUUAUGACCAUAUUAUGACAGGUUAAUGUCAGCUGUUAUGACCCUAUUAUAACAGGGUAAUGUCAGCUGUUAUGACCAUAUUAUGACAGGGUAAUGUCAGCUGUUAUGACCAUAUUAUGACAGGUUAAUGUCAGCUGUUAUGACCAUAUUAUGACAGGUAAUGUCAGCUGUUAUGACCCUAUUAUGACAGGUUAAUGUCAGCUGUUAUGACCAUAUUAUAACAGGUUAAUGUCAGCUGUUAUGACCAUAUUAUGACAGGUUAAUGUCAGCUGUUAUGACCAUAUUAUGACAGGUUAAUGUCAGCUGUUAUGACCCUAUUAUAACAGGUUAAUGUCAGCUGUUAUGACCAUAUUAUGACAGGUUAAUGUCAGCUGUUAUGACCAUAUUAUGACAGGUUAAUGUCAGCUGUUAUGACCAUAUUAGGACAGGUUAAUGUCAGCUGUUAUGACCAUAUUAGGACAGGUUAAUGUCAGCUGUUAUGACCAUAUUAG
Molecule: long non-coding RNA, 588 nt
Organism: Oncorhynchus tshawytscha (Chinook salmon)
Lineage: Eukaryota; Metazoa; Chordata; Actinopteri; Salmoniformes; Salmonidae
Source: Ensembl